This 213-nucleotide unclassified non-coding RNA is filed under the name Hevea brasiliensis (rubber tree). The record is from RNAcentral. Lineage: Eukaryota; Viridiplantae; Streptophyta; Magnoliopsida; Malpighiales; Euphorbiaceae.
AUGUGCCAAAGAGAGAUAAAUUAUCAACUGUUGGAGAGCACCGAUCUCACUUGGAAUACCACCAAAGAAAUGAUUCUUUGACAAGUCCAUUUGAUAAAUGACCUCUAAAUUUCCAAUUCAGAUGGCCACCUAGUGAAUUUGAUGACAAGUUAAAAACCAACAUGUCCUCCUUAAGGGCAUACUUGAAGUUAAAUUAUUGCUAUCAAGCUGUUA